Molecule: long non-coding RNA, 462 nt
Organism: Felis catus (domestic cat)
Lineage: Eukaryota; Metazoa; Chordata; Mammalia; Carnivora; Felidae
Exons: 2
Source: RefSeq, a predicted model, not a curated record
CAUUCACGGGACCAUGCUGCUGCCAAUGCUCAGAGAUUGUGGCAGGGUGCCAGCCUGCCCCAGAAAAAGUUCACACACGAUCGUGUAGCAGCAGCAUUUCAGGGAUUAUGGCAAAUCACAAAGUGUAUCUGGCACCGGGCUUCACCCCCAGCAACUUUGUUCCAGCACCAGCGAAUGUGGUUGUUCUCCCGGGUCCACUGGGCCCUUCCCUUUGGGGGACCCACACAGCCUCUACCAGGUGUCCUCCCAGCAGGGGAACUGCCGCUCCCUGUGUGGCUCGAAGACCCUCCAGACUUCAUUCUGCUCCUGGGGAUUCGCCCUUCUCACCAGAGCACUGCCAGAAUUUUUGGCCAGUUGAGUGAAAUUUCAAAGAUUUAAGCCAGCUUAACACUUACAGUCUCCGAUAACAUUUCAAGGAAAAAAGAGAAGACUGUGUGGAGUAAAUAAAAUAGAAACCAUACU